AUUCCAGCUCCAAUAGCGUAUAUUAAAGUUGUUGUGGUUAAAAAGCUCGUAGUUGGAUCUCAACAGCCUUGAAGCGGUUAACUUUGUAGUUUUACUGCUUUAUAGGCUGUGCUUUUGCUGGAGGUUUAGGGGUGCUCUUGAUCGAGUGUCUCUGGAUGCCAGCAGGUUUACUUUGUAAAAAUUAGAGUGCUCAAAGCAGGCUAAAAUGCCUGAAUAUUCGUGCAUGGAAUAAUAGAAUAGGAUGUCGAUCCUACUUUGUUGGUUUUCGGGACUCGACAUAAUGAUAAAUAGGGACAGUCGGGGGCAUUUGUAUUCAAACGACAGAGGUGAAAUUCUUGGACCGUUUGAAGACAAACUACUGCGAAAGCAUUUGCCAAGAAUGUUUUCAUCA
This 391-nucleotide ribosomal RNA is filed under the name Paracalanus sp. RNAcentral's name for it is "partial small subunit ribosomal RNA". It matches the Rfam family "Eukaryotic small subunit ribosomal RNA", at positions 582 to 975 of the family's 1831-position model. The record is from RNAcentral. Lineage: Eukaryota; Metazoa; Arthropoda; Copepoda; Calanoida; Paracalanidae.